GCAUAAUGUGAGGCAAGGUCUAGCUGUUCCCCCCCGGCAUACAAGCUUAUAGAGCAGCCUCCUUUGAAGAUCUCCAGGUGGACUUCACAGAGAUGCCAAAGUGUGGAGGUGUUCGAGUGUGGAUCAAGGACUGGAACGUAGCCUCUUUGUGCCCAUGGUGGAAAGGACCCCAGACUGUCGUCCUGAUCACUCCCACUGCUGUGAACGUAGAGAGAAUCCUAGCCUGGAUCCAUCACAACCGUGUAAAACCUGCAGCGCCUGAAUCCUGGGAGGCAAGACCAAGUCUGGACAACCCCUGCAGAGUGACCCUGAAGAAG
RNAcentral lists this long non-coding RNA (317 nucleotides) under Homo sapiens (human). RNAcentral's name for it is "non-protein coding lnc-CST7-1:1". The record is from RNAcentral. Lineage: Eukaryota; Metazoa; Chordata; Mammalia; Primates; Hominidae.